Molecule: ribosomal RNA, 225 nt
Filed under: uncultured bacterium
Lineage: Bacteria
Description: partial 16S ribosomal RNA
Rfam family: Bacterial small subunit ribosomal RNA
Source: RNAcentral
CACACUGGCACUGAGACACGGGCCAGACUCCUACGGGAGGCAGCAGUGAGGAAUUUUGCGCAAUGGGGGCAACCCUGACGCAGCAACGCCGCGUGUGGGAAGAAGGCUUUCGGGUUGUAAACCACUUUUGCCCGGGACGAAAAGGGAUGUCAGAACACGGCAUUUCGAUGACGGUACCGGGAGAAUAAGCCACGGCUAACUCUGUGCCAGCCGCCGCAGUAAUAC